GACGAACGCUGGCGGCGUGCCUAAUACAUGCAAGUAGGACGCUGAAGAGAGGAGCUUACUCUUCUUGGAUGAGUUGCGAACGGGUGAGUAACGCGUAGGUAACCUGCCUUGUAGCGGGGGAUAACUAUUGGAAACGAUAGCUAAUACCGCAUAACAAUGGAUGACACAUGUCAUUUAUUUGAAGGGGGCAAUUGCUCCACUACAAGAUGGACCUGCGUUGUAUUAGCUAGUAGGUGAGGUAAUGGCUCACCUAGGCGACGAUACAUAGCCGACCUGAGAGGGUGAUCGGCCACACUGGGACUGAGACACGGCCCAGACUCCUACGGGAGGCAGCAGUAGGGAAUCUUCGGCAAUGGGGGCAACCCUGACCGAGCAACGCCGCGUGAGUGAAGAAGGUUUUCGGAUCGUAAAGCUCUGUUGUAAGUCAAGAACGGGUGUGAGAGUGGAAAGUUCACACUGUGACGGUAGCUUACCAGAAAGGGACGGCUAACUACGUG
This 497-nucleotide ribosomal RNA is filed under the name uncultured bacterium. RNAcentral's name for it is "partial 16S ribosomal RNA". It matches the Rfam family "Bacterial small subunit ribosomal RNA", at positions 28 to 507 of the family's 1533-position model. The record is from RNAcentral.